AAGACUACACUUUCAGGGAUCAUUUCUAUAGUAUCCAACUAAAGAGAUGCACUCGAAAGCAAUUGUCUCUUCCCCAAACCCCCAAAACUUUAACCUUAGACUGUCUACUGUCGACUUCACCCCAUUCCUAAGAGGUCUUUAAGCGGGGU
Molecule: small nucleolar RNA, 149 nt
Organism: Thamnophis elegans (Western terrestrial garter snake)
Lineage: Eukaryota; Metazoa; Chordata; Lepidosauria; Squamata; Natricidae
Product: small nucleolar RNA U3
Exons: 1
Source: RefSeq, a predicted model, not a curated record